CUCAAGCCAAGCGGUUUAUUUGUUUCACUGCCUUGCUUUUAUAGUUACAUUUCAGGAACUUGACUAUGCAGCCAAAAAGGGUGUUCAUGUACUCAGCGAACACUCUUCCUUAAACUACGAACGCUGCCCCAGUGUUCUGUGACAAAGGGUCACCUGACCUGUUCUGGUGUUCCAUAAGCAAGUCAUAAAUUGACCACCACUAUCACACAUUCCUGUUUCACACCCCCACACAGCUGUGCUUUGAACUCCUGAUAAAGGCUGGUCAAGACCUGUCAAGAUACUAUUUAUGCUUUUUUUUGCUUCUUGCUAAAGCUCUUAAAGAUACAGUUACAUUCGUUGGGUCAUGCAAUGUUUCGCAAGUUCUCUCCAGAUUUCCCCCUUCUUUGUUUGCCAGUCACGUGAUCAGCGCCGCCAUCACUCUUGCUUCCGUUUUUUGCAAGCUUCUUGUGAUUCUCCAUAGGAACUGCAAGACUAUAAAAAUCAUUAUUAUUACAGCAAGAAUACCAUUACCAACAAAUAUCCAAAUUCUUAAGUUUAGUCCAGAAAACCAUGGUGAAGGGUUUAGCCAUUUUACACUGUCAGCCAAAUCAUCCAUUAGACUUUUUUGGGUAAGAAUUUGUAAUUGUUUCAAUUAUUGUGUUAGACUAUCGCUGAGACUCUCAACUUCAGCAGCAACAUUUACAGAAAAGGCUCCUUGUAUACUUGACUGCAUACCCGGUAAGGUAAAAAAUGUUAAAUUCCCCUUUUUAGCAACUAAAUGCCAUUGUUCCCUGAACUUGUACACAUCCUUCUGAUUCAUUGUUACUAGUAAAGCACAUAGGAGGUAACUCUGUUCGAAACUCAUGUGUAUCAUUAAUCAUCAACCAGUCAUUAAGAUUUGAUAACGGGCCCGAUAGUGGUAGCCAUACCCCACCAGCCCACUGUGUGGUGUUCUUUGAAAUUGGAUGAUCUGGAUCCCACCAAGUAGCAGGCCUAAACAACAGUGGAUCUGCUAUGUGUGCCCAGUAUACAUUACCUUGAACUGGCCAUAAGAUCAUUAGCAGAGUCAUUAAAAACACCUAAUUUCCCCAUUUUACCUUGGAGUUGCUAGCCACUAUGGCUAGAUAUGCCAAAAAGGUAUUAACAGGGUUUGGUUCUGCUCCAAUGUGCUGCAUCAUUUUACUUGCGUCUUCAUCCAGUUUCUUCAGGUCCCCCCAUGUGAUGUUCUGUGCCGUCCGCUUCCUUUUCACCGGUUUCUUCUGAAUUUGCAGGUUGGUUAUCUGAGGCACUGGGUUGUUUACCACUUCUUUCCAACUCAUGGUAUGUCUUCACGUGUUGAGCAGGUAACCACUGAGGACCUAAGGGUAACAAAACACAAACAUACCCUCUCCCCCAGGUUAGCAAUUCCACAGGUCCCUUCCACUGAUUAUAAUCUGGGGGAUUUCGAAACCAUACCUUAGGUUUAUGCAUUAAUCGUGUUCCUGAUACAGAAUGCCGUUCCCUGGCUGUAGAUGCUAAAUGAUCUACAGAACGAUUUAAAAAAUUGAGACUGUAAGUAGCAUUAUCUAAUUGUUCCUGCAGAGGCGUAUUCCCCCUUCUUUGUUUUUCAAGCAUAUGUUUCAAAUUUUUAUGUGCGCUUUCAACAAUAGCUUGGCCAGUAGGAGAAUGUGGAAUGCCAAAACCAUGAUCAACACUCCAGUCCUGAAGAAAUAAUUUUAUUGAAGAAGACUGAUAGGCAGGGUCAUUGUCUGUCUUAAUAGAUUUUGGAACACCUAAAAUGGCAAAAGCAUAUGUCCAAUGACGUUUAACAUCUUUAGCCCUUUCCCCACUAAGGGCAGUGGCUACUAAGAAACCAGAAAAGGUAUCAGCUGGUACAUGUACAUAACGUAAUUGACCAAAAGAUGGAACAUGUGUAUCAUCAGUUUGCCAUCUCAUUAGGAUCCAGGCCUCGAACAUUAACCCCAUUUCCCAAUGGGGAUAACAUUAAUCGUUGGCAAUCAGCAUACGCCCUUAUAAUAUCACGAGCUUGUUGUGGUGUUAAAUUAAAUUCCUUCUGUAGAGCCAAAGCAUUUUGAUGAAAAAAGUUACGAGAUAAUCGAGCAUGUUCAAAACUUUGAGUUAAUAUGGCAGGUAAUGUCAAGGCGUCUGCUCUAGCAUUGCCUUCUACCAGUGGGACAGGUAAUUUAGUAUGCGAACGGAGGUGCAUUAUAAAGAUAAGACGUGUGCUUUGGGAUAUAAUUUGUGACAAUUUUAACAAUAAUUGAAAUAAAGCCUUGUUAGAAACAUCCUUCAAAAAGGAAUCAGGGAUUCUCUGGGAUUAUUCCUGCUACAUAAUAAGAGUCAGCAACAAUAUUCACAUCUUCUUUUGAGAAGAGUUCAAGGGCAUGUGUAGCCACUGCUAAUUUGAUUAGUUGUGUUGAACCUUGUUGUUGAAUAACAGAAUCACAACAAACACCCUCCUCCUGCCAAGUGACUGCCGCUUUAUGUGAUUUUCCUGAGACAUCAAUAAAGACAGUUCUCGCGUUAGGUAAAGGCACAGUUUGAAUGAUAGAUUGCACAGAUAAAGGUAUUUGCUCUAAAAGUGUAUAAAUCUUGUGACUUGGGUUCAUAAACACGAUCUUGUUCAAAUAAUCUGCCAAUGCUGCUUGCAGCGAAAGAGAUUCCCUAAAAAGCACUUGAAAAGAGUCAGUGGACAUAGGUAAGGAAAUAAAAGCUGGAUCACAUCCGCAUAGCUGUUGGAAAUGCAAUAUCGUUUUUUCAGUGACCAUGACUACUGCAUCAGUUCUUGUUGUUACUAUUUUCUUUGGACUAUUUGAUAAAAACACCCAUUCGAGUGUUAUUAAUUGUUUGGUUUGCUCAUCAAAUUGACCAAUUAGCCCAAAAGGCUGAAAAGGAUUAUUGAUUACAUAAAUUCCCGCAGCUAGGUGCAGAACUAUAUGUCCUGCAAAACCUGUUUGUAUUUUUUGUAACACUUAUUGUAGUUCAUAGUUAGCCUCUUUAGUCAAGAGAUGUUGUGAGUUAAGAUCUGCGUCCCCUUUUAAAAUGUCAAACAAAUUGUUCAAUUCAUGUGUGGCAAUUCCUAACCGAGGUCUUAGCCAGUUAAUACUGCCAAGCAACUUUUGAGCAUCAUGUAGGGUCUUAAUUUGUGUAGCUAGAGUUAGCUUUUGAGGAUGAACAAUUUGAUUAAAAAGAUUCCAAUCUAAGUAUUUCCAAGGUUCCUGCCUUUGUACCUUUUUGGGUGCGAUCUGAAGCCCAAAAGUUUUCAAAUGUAAUAACAAAUGUUGUAACGCCUCAUGUAAUAUUAAAGUAUUUUCUGCAGCAAGCAAAAUGUCACCCAUAUAAUGAUAAAUGCAUGCUUGUGGAAAUUUAUUACAAGUGGGCUCAAUUGCCGCAGCUACCACAAUUUGACAUAUAGUUGGGCUGUUUUUCAUACCUUGUGGAAGAACCGUCCACUGUUAUAAUUUCAUAGGUGCCUGAUUAUUAAUUGUUGGUAAAGAAAAGGCAAAAUGUAGACAAUCCUCUGGAUGAAGUGGUAUAGUAAAGAAACAGUCUUUUAAAUCUAUUACAUACAGAGGCCAAUUUGAAGGGAUUAAAGUAAGAUUAAGAACUCCAGUCUGUAUUGCUCCCACAGGUUGCAUAACUGCGUUGACUGCUCUUAAAUCUUGUAAAAGUCUCCAUUUUCCAGAUUUCUUUGGAAUUACAAAAAUGGGAGUAUUCUAUGGGCUUGUUGAGGGAGCAAUAUGACCAGCCUGUAGCUGCUUUUCUAUAAGUCUUUCUUCUUGCUAUAACUUUUCCCCUUUUAGGGGCCACUGGUCAACCCAAAUUGACUGGGCAGUGAGCCAAGUCAGUUUGAGCAGGGGUUUAUGGACCGUGACCCCAGGGUUAAAUUUGUCGCUAAAGCAGCAGUAAGGGUCAUUUGCCAUUGAGACAGUAAAUCUCUUCCCCAUAAAUUACAAGGAACUGACAUCACAUAAGAAGGAAGAGAAGCCUUUCUUCCUUCUGGACCGACAACAGUUAAGGCAAUUAAACUCUGUAAUGGAAUUUGAAUCCCUCCAACAGCCGAUACUGUAGCAAAUGCAAGACCUAUUGGCCAAUCUCGCAGCCAUUCUUUUGAGAGAUAAUGGAAAUGUCUGCACCAGUAUGCAACAAUCCUGUAAAAGAUCAAUCUUUAAUUGUCAGUGUUAACAUGGGCUGUGACUGCGUAACCUUUUGUGCCCAGAGGAUCUGAGGCAUCCCGAUACUACCAAAUCCUUGAUUUCCUCACUCAGUAUUUGAUGCUCGAGGAACAAAAUUAAGAAGUAAAAGUAAUUACGCUAUAUGAUCUCCUUGUAAUAUUUUGCAAGGAGGUGUUGUAGUCCAAGUCAUAAUUUCAAUUUUUCAGUAUAGUUAGAAUCUGUAACUCCAGGCAGGACAAAAAGCCCUGCCUUUGAUACAGAAGAUCGGCCCAAUAUAAGUCCACAAAAUCGCGUGGGCAAAGGUCCAUACACAUUGGUGUUAAUUAAACAGACUUUAGUAUCUAAGAGGGUUGUAUCGGAGGCUGCGGCCAAGUCCAAGCCUGUGCUGCCGCUGGUGCUCACGGGCAAGCCACAGACAUAUUGUUUUCGUGUGUUAGAUUGCAAAUGCAUGAUGGUUGAGGAACAUAAUGAACUUGGCAAACCCUGUUGGGUUGAGGGGCACCGGGUCUUGCGCCCCACCAGGAGUUUCCCGGCAAGGGUCCCCCCUGCGUGUCAAAUUUAGACCAACACUGAUUGCCCUGAUGAAAACUCUUUUUGCAUUGGGGACAUAAAGUUGUUGGUGCUCUCUUGUCUCAUUUAUAUUCUCCCUUGCGCUGUGGACACUCUCUGCAUGUGUCCUUCCUGAUUACAUUGAAAACAUUUUAUAGCUGCUUGUUAUGAGGGUGAUUUAUUCAUUGUUAGAUGUUGCGCUAAAGCUACUGCUAGUACAUUAGCUUUAUGUUCUUCCAAGCCAAUAUCUUGACAUGACUUGAUAUAAUCAACUAAGGUUUUUGCAGUCCCUCUCACAGAGGAUAAAGCCUUUUUACAAUCUGCAUUAGCAUUUUCAAAUGCUAGCUGGAAUACUAAAAUUUGUGCAGCUUCCUCAUUUUCUACUUGGCGAUUGACUGCAGCUUGCAGUCUAUCAGUAAACGCAAUAUACGGCUCAUGUACACCUUGCCAAAUAGCAGCAAAUGGUGAAUCCUGACAUCCUGUUUCAGGCACCUUCCUCAAAGCUCAAACGGAUAAUAGAGGGGCUUGUCGUAAAGCAUCCCUAGGCAGGGUGGCUUGUGCCUGAGGAGUUAAAUAAGGACCUUCCCCUUUUAACUCAUUCAUCCCCAUCCCCAUGUUGUUUGCAUUUGUAGUAUUAUCCAUCGUUUGUAUUAUUACUAAGUCACGAUAUUCUACUGACCAAACUGCAUAUUGGGCUGAUGUAAGAAUCAUUUUUAAUAAUGCCUUCCAAUCAUACGAUGUCACGGUAUAACUUUCUCCUGUUGUUUCCAAUAAACUCCUGGUAUAAGUGUUUUGCAACCGAUAAUCUUUGAUCACCUUUCUCACCUCCUUGAUCAUUUCAUAUUGUAAAGUGGUAUAUUCAGGAGGCAGUUGUGGUUGACAUAAAACAGGCAAUGCAGUUAACAUGGAAACAUCACCGGGUUUUAAAGCUUCCUCAUGGCAGGAGUCCAACAAAGUAGUUACCUUCCCUGGAUUACAGGGAGGUGGUUUACUAAACAAAUCAAUGAGUGGUGGGUCAUUUACUGGUUGUGCCAUAAAUAUAGAGAGAUACCCUGGUGGUGCUGUUGGUGUUAAAAAAGCCUGUCUAGGUUGUAAAAGUGACGCUGCCGUUGGUACCACAGCUGCCAUGGCUUUUACAGGUGUUAAACAUGGAUACAGAUCAGGCUCUGUUUCUGGCUCAGUAGGUCCAGGAUCAAGAGGAUCAAAAUAAGAACUAGAUGGAGAAGGGACAUCAUCAUAUAUACUAUCAUCAUCUUUCUCAUUCUCCAUUUUAGAUCUCAAAAUGGCCUCAGCUGGUUGUAAAGUUUUUAAAAUGGUAUACAGAGUUCUCCAAGUCACAAUUAAUUCCUCCAGAACUUCAAACUAUAACAGUUUCUUUGUUUGUAUUUCCUCUCCCACCUUUGACCAAAUUUGACUAUCGUAAGUUCCUGUAACAGGAAACCAAGUGCAAUGGGUCUUACCCACAUUAACAAAGAGGCCAGUUUUACUGGUGUUACCUUAAAUCCCUGUCCUUUUAAAAUUUGCUCUAAAACUUCAAUAUGCAAUUUAUGCUCUUGUGGUGUUGCUUGCCCCAUGCCAUAACUGCAUUACUUACCUAUACAACAGGAAGAACUGUGCACGCGUCUUAGGAUUCUGAAGUCAGAAUUUGCUGUCCUUCUUUAGUUCGGUUACGGAGCUGCCACCGGUAUUGUUAAGAGCCCUGUUCGGGUGCCAUUUGUGGUGGACUGAAAGACACGGACUCAGCGUAUGCUCAAGCCAAGC
Molecule: long non-coding RNA, 6464 nt
Filed under: Strigops habroptila (Kakapo)
Lineage: Eukaryota; Metazoa; Chordata; Aves; Psittaciformes; Psittacidae
Description: lncRNA (ENSSHBG00005015423.1)
Source: RNAcentral